This 372-nucleotide long non-coding RNA is filed under the name Homo sapiens (human). Its description in RNAcentral is "non-protein coding lnc-C19orf48-1:3". The record is from RNAcentral. Lineage: Eukaryota; Metazoa; Chordata; Mammalia; Primates; Hominidae.
CCCAGGAAAGAGAGAGAAGACCAACCAAGGGGUGGCUGGAGUCCCAAGGCCAUGAACUUUCAGGAAAAUGUGACCCUGGCCAUGGCCUUGUUCACCAUCCUGACCUCCAUCUAUUUCUUCAACAAGGCUCAGCAGUGAGAAGACACAGGACCUCCCCGCACAAGAGCCCUGCCUCUCCCUCUGCCAUCGCUCUGAGGCCAGAUAAAUGUAACUGAAUCCGCACAUCCUGCUCCGCCGACCCACUGCCCUUGCGCCCGGCCUCGGGCCUACACCACACCUGGGGCUCUGUGUUUCAGAAGGGAGUGGGGUGGGGGUCCGGACUCCAGGGUCUGAGGUAGGAGAGUGGUGAGGACCCACCCUCGCAGGUUUGAG